UUAUCUGUGCUUGGCGUGCGGGAGAAAGGUAGGGGCAUAGCCUAAAACUCACAUGGAGAUCAGGCUAGAACAUGGGGUCCCAUGUGGGGGUGCGUCCCUUGGUUCGGGUAAUUAUGUUUCCGAUCGAUGGGUAUGGCUAAUUGAAAGGUCGUUAUACGCACCCGAUUAGUUGUGCAUGGCUGGUGAUUAGGUAUCUCUUGCAGGAUGUAAAUCAGUC
Molecule: long non-coding RNA, 217 nt
Filed under: Setaria italica (foxtail millet)
Lineage: Eukaryota; Viridiplantae; Streptophyta; Magnoliopsida; Poales; Poaceae
Description: long non-coding RNA (SITA_LNC002295)
Source: RNAcentral